AUUGAACGCUGGCGGAAUGCUUUACACAUGCAAGUCGAGCGGCAGCGCGGGGCAACCUGGCGGCGAGCGGCGAACGGGUGAGUAACAUAUCGGAACAUACCCAGUCGUGGGGGAUAACACAGCGAAAGUUGUGCUAAUACCGCAUACGUCCUGAGGGAGAAAGCGGGGGAUCGCAAGACCUCGCGCGAUUGGAGUGGCCGAUAUCGGAUUAGCUAGUUGGUGAGGUAAAGGCUCACCAAGGCGACGAUCCGUAGCUGGUCUGAGAGGACGACCAGCCACACUGGAACUGAGACACGGUCCAGACUCCUACGGGAGGCAGCAGUGGGGAAUUUUGGACAAUGGGCGAAAGCCUGAUCCAGCAAUGCCGCGUGCAGGAAGAAGGCCUUCGGGUUGUAAACUGCUUUUGUACGGAGCGAAAAGGUCCUUUCUAAUACAAGGGGCUCAUGACGGUACCGUAAGAAUAAGCACCGGCUAACUACGUGCCAGCCGCCGCGGUAA
Molecule: ribosomal RNA, 498 nt
Filed under: uncultured bacterium
Lineage: Bacteria
Description: partial 16S ribosomal RNA
Rfam family: Bacterial small subunit ribosomal RNA
Source: RNAcentral